UACGUAGGGGGCAAGCGUUGUCCGGAAUCAUUGGGCGUAAAGCGCGUGUAGGCGGCCACUUAAGUCCUGCGUGAAAUCUUGCGGCUCAACCGCAAGCGGUCGUGGGAAACUGGGUGGCUAGAGUGCGGGAGAGGAGAGUGGAAUUCCUGGUGUAGCGGUGGAAUGCGCAGAUAUCAGGAAGAACACCCGUGGCGAAGGCGGCUCUCUGGAACGCAACUGACGCUGAGACGCGAAAGCGUGGGGAGCAAACAGG
This 253-nucleotide ribosomal RNA is filed under the name uncultured bacterium. RNAcentral describes it as "partial 16S ribosomal RNA". It matches the Rfam family "Bacterial small subunit ribosomal RNA", at positions 524 to 776 of the family's 1533-position model. The record is from RNAcentral.